Molecule: ribosomal RNA, 253 nt
Filed under: uncultured Bacteroides sp.
Lineage: Bacteria; Pseudomonadati; Bacteroidota; Bacteroidia; Bacteroidales; Bacteroidaceae
Description: partial 16S ribosomal RNA
Rfam family: Bacterial small subunit ribosomal RNA
Source: RNAcentral
UACGUAGGGGGCAAGCGUUAUCCGGAUUUACUGGGUGUAAAGGGAGCGUAGGUGGAUUGUUAAGUCAGUUGUGAAAGUUUGCGGCUCAACCGUAAAAUUGCAGUUGAAACUGGCAGUCUUGAGUACAGUAGAGGUGGGCGGAAUGCGUGGUGUAGCGGUGAAAUGCAUAGAUAUCACGCAGAACGCCGAUUGCGAAGGCAGCAUACCGGCGCCCAACUGACGCUGAGGCACGAAAGCGUGGGGAUCGAACAGG